RNAcentral lists this transfer RNA (54 nucleotides) under Bredia microphylla. Its description in RNAcentral is "partial tRNA-Val". Lineage: Eukaryota; Viridiplantae; Streptophyta; Magnoliopsida; Myrtales; Melastomataceae. RNAcentral also lists the same sequence under 3 other names. The record is from RNAcentral.
ACAAGGGCUAUAGCUCAGUUAGGUAGAGCACCUCGUUUACACGUGCGCCAAUGU